This 251-nucleotide unclassified non-coding RNA is filed under the name Hevea brasiliensis (rubber tree). The record is from RNAcentral. Lineage: Eukaryota; Viridiplantae; Streptophyta; Magnoliopsida; Malpighiales; Euphorbiaceae.
AUCAAGAACACCAAUGAAGCAGUUGCUUUCUCCUCUUACAUUAGCGAAAAAACAGAAUCCACAAGAGCUAGGAAAAAUAAAUAAAUGUAUGCUCUAGGAAAUGCAUGAAGAGUUUACAUCUGAACAUGACAACAUCUAAGAAAAAUCAGAUGAAAAAAGUUGAAACUUGAAGGAUGAUGCUUCAUUUUCACAAAAUUAUUAUCAACAUGGAUAAAAAAACUACACAUCACACUUUGCAUUUAGAAAACCAA